Nematostella vectensis (starlet sea anemone) is the source of this 536-nucleotide long non-coding RNA. RefSeq lists it as uncharacterized. The transcript is spliced from 2 exons. The record is from RefSeq and is a predicted model, not a curated record. NCBI's taxonomy places the organism in Eukaryota, Metazoa, Cnidaria, Anthozoa, Actiniaria, Edwardsiidae.
UUGCGCAUGCACUUGCACGUAAUUGCAUCUCAAUGACAGAUAGAUGAUCUACAAAAGCUUGUGAGGACUUUUUGUUAUUUGACACUGUCAACAAAAUAUCACGAAUCAAAGUUGGAACUCUCAUUUCUGGCGAAAUUUGGACAGGAAAGGUCAAACUGAUGCGAAGCACCCUACCCCGGCUGGUAGAAUUUGGCAUGGCGUGUAUUGUCUUUUUCUCCACGAACGGCCCAUCGAGCGUCGCCAUCACGAAUAUUUUCAAGAUCAAAAGAAAGAUUCUCGCCGCUCAAACGGCAAAACGGGGACAAAUAGACAAUACAAAGGUGAUGGCAAUCAAGGGAGGCGCAAAUAUCCUUCUACAGUUUUAGUCAAGAGGGCAUGGUCUUGAUGUCCUAUGGCUGCUAGUGUAAGGCUGACAAAACGUACAUCGCUAGGAGUUGCUGAAAGGGGGAUGUUUGAGCAAGGGCUGGGAUACGAGGGAUUUUAAAUAAUAAUAUGAAGAAGUAUAAGGAAAUCAAUUAAACAAACAGUAAAUCCCA